This 647-nucleotide ribosomal RNA is filed under the name uncultured bacterium. RNAcentral's name for it is "bacterial SSU rRNA". It matches the Rfam family "Bacterial small subunit ribosomal RNA", at positions 28 to 653 of the family's 1533-position model. The record is from RNAcentral.
GACGAACGCUGGCGGCGUGCCUAAUACAUGCAAGUCGAGCGGAGUUGUUUUGAAAGCUUGCUUUCAAAACAACUUAGCGGCGGACGGGUGAGUAACGCGUAGGCAACCUGCCCCUUAGACUGGGAUAACUACCGGAAACGGUAGCUAAUACCGGAUAAUUUCUUUUUUCUCCUGAAGGAAGAAUGAAAGACGGAGCAAUCUGUCACUGAGGGAUGGGCCUGCGGCGCAUUAGCUAGUUGGUGGGGUAACGGCCCACCAAGGCGACGAUGCGUAGCCGACCUGAGAGGGUGAACGGCCACACUGGGACUGAGACACGGCCCAGACUCCUACGGGAGGCAGCAGUAGGGAAUCUUCCGCAAUGGACGAAAGUCUGACGGAGCAACGCCGCGUGAGUGAUGAAGGUUUUCGGAUCGUAAAGCUCUGUUGCCAGGGAAGAACGUCCGGUAGAGUAACUGCUAUCGGAGUGACGGUACCUGAGAAGAAAGCCCCGGCUAACUACGUGCCAGCAGCCGCGGUAAUACGUAGGGGGCAAGCGUUGUCCGGAAUUAUUGGGCGUAAAGCGCGCGCAGGCGGUCAUUUAAGUCUGGUGUUUAAACCUUGGGCUCAACCUGAGGUCGCACUGGAAACUGGAUGACUUGAGUACAGAA